CACGCAUGGUGGAUUCACAAUCCACUGCCUUGAUCCACUUGGCUACAUCCGCC
This 53-nucleotide transfer RNA is filed under the name Euthamia graminifolia. RNAcentral's name for it is "partial tRNA-His". Lineage: Eukaryota; Viridiplantae; Streptophyta; Magnoliopsida; Asterales; Asteraceae. The record is from RNAcentral.